This is a non-coding RNA of Solanum lycopersicum (tomato), 535 nucleotides long. NCBI's taxonomy places the organism in Eukaryota, Viridiplantae, Streptophyta, Magnoliopsida, Solanales, Solanaceae. The record is from RefSeq and is a predicted model, not a curated record.
GUUUUGGUGGUCAGAUAGAUGCACCAAAUGAAACAGUUCUACUGGAGAUUUGAUUAGUUUCUGAGCUGGGAAUGCCCGCACUUACUAUGUGUAGUGAUUCACUUUACAAGGUGGAUACGAAUUUGUGGCCUCACUAAUUUGGAGGUUUGUACAGCUUAGUGGUUUUCGUUGUUUCCCUUUAUGGCAUGAUGUGGGAUGAAAAUCAUAAGAUCAAUGUUCAAAUUCCAGCAAAGAGCAAAAGGCGGUAGUCGAUACACGAUACACGGAUGUAUUUAGAAACAUACCGACAAUUUCAAGUUUGUGGAGAAGUAGAGAGGAAAAGGACAAUACUUAUGCAGCAAUGUGAAGAAGUCCAUUAAGUCUCAAAGACUUUAAAGACUAUGGGGUAUGGGCAACGAACCUUUUUGCAGGUAUGGUAGGAAUUUAAUAAAGCAUGUUCUGGGUUGGAUUUGUUUUCUUACCUUUCAAGCAUAAAUAUGAUUGAUAUAUUUUAAUAUUAUAUUAUUAAAUUAAUUAUAUUUUCCAUUAUAUAGAA